RNAcentral lists this ribosomal RNA (423 nucleotides) under uncultured bacterium. RNAcentral describes it as "partial 16S ribosomal RNA". It matches the Rfam family "Bacterial small subunit ribosomal RNA", at positions 360 to 774 of the family's 1533-position model. The record is from RNAcentral.
AAUCUUCCGCAAUGGACGAAAGUCUGACGGAGCAACGCCGCGCGAGUGACGAAGGUCUUCCGAUCGGAAUACUCUGCUGUUAGGGAAGAACAAGUAGCGCUCGAAUAGGUCGGUACCUUGAGGUUAUCUAACCAGAAUGACACGGCUAACUACGUCCCAGCAGCCGCGGUAAUACGUAGGUGGCAAGCGUUAUCCGGAAUUAUUGGUCGUAAAGCACGCGCAGGCGGUUUCUUAAGUCUGAUGUGAAAGCCCACGGCUCAACCGUGGAGGGUCAUUGGAAACUGGGAAGCUUGAGUGCAGAAGAGGAGAGUGGAAUUCCAUGUGUAGCGGUGAAAUGAGUAGCGAUAUGGAGGAACACCAGUGGCGAAGGCGACUCUCUGGUCUGCAACUGACGCUGAGGCGCGAAAGCGUGGGGAGCGAACA